This 315-nucleotide long non-coding RNA is filed under the name Elaeis guineensis (African oil palm). RNAcentral's name for it is "long non-coding RNA (EGUI_LNC010235)". Lineage: Eukaryota; Viridiplantae; Streptophyta; Magnoliopsida; Arecales; Arecaceae. The record is from RNAcentral.
GGCCAGGUGGGGAUAAGGAAUCAAUGUAGAAUCUAGGAAAGAGCAGCAAAGGAAUGUGAUGAGCAAAUUCUCAUCUUCAGAUGUUAGAAGGUACAAAAUCAAUGGGUGGUGCCAAUUUUUUCAGUAUUGGCAAUUUAAGGGUAGCAUCUUCUUAAGGUGAAAUUGGGGAAGUUGACCCUAUCACAACUAUGUAGAAAACAUGAUGAGUAGAAAUAGAUCUAUGGUUGGAAAGUUUCAUUCCCCAACCAAAUUGGGAUGGAUAUAUUGAGAAAUUGUCUACAUAUUUCAAGAGGCCCAAGCACCAUUUUCGUAUAC